RNAcentral lists this ribosomal RNA (468 nucleotides) under uncultured bacterium. RNAcentral's name for it is "partial 16S ribosomal RNA". It matches the Rfam family "Bacterial small subunit ribosomal RNA", at positions 28 to 507 of the family's 1533-position model. The record is from RNAcentral.
GACGAACGCUGGCGGCGUGCUUAACACAUGCAAGUCGAACGGAAAGGCCCUGCUUUUGUGGGGUGCUCGAGUGGCGAACGGGUGAGUAACACGUGAGUAACCUGCCCUUGACUUUGGGAUAACUUCAGGAAACUGGGGCUAAUACCGGAUAGGAGCUCCUGCUGCACGGUGGGGGUUGGAAAGUUUCGGCGGUUCGGGCUAGACUCGCUGCUUACCAGCUUGUUUGUGGAGUAGUUGCUUACGAAGGCUGUGACGGGUAGCCGGCCUGAGAGGGUGACCGGCCACAUUGCGACUGAGAGACGCAGCAGAAUCGAAUGGGACGCAGUAGGCGAGAAUAUGGCAGAAUGGCCCGAAGUGUGAUGCAGCAACGCCGCGUGCGGGAUGCCCGGCUUCGGGGGGUAAACAGCUGUCGACGGAGACGAAGCGUGAGUGACGGUAACGGGUAAAGAAGCAACGGCUAACUACGUG